RNAcentral lists this ribosomal RNA (497 nucleotides) under uncultured bacterium. RNAcentral describes it as "partial 16S ribosomal RNA". It matches the Rfam family "Bacterial small subunit ribosomal RNA", at positions 28 to 507 of the family's 1533-position model. The record is from RNAcentral.
GAUGAACGCUGGCGGCGUGCCUAAUACAUGCAAGUCGAGCGAACAGACGAGGAGCUUGCUCCUCUGCCGUUAGCGGCGGACGGGUGAGUAACACGUGGAUAACCUACCUCUAAGACUGGGAUAACAUCGGGAAACCGGAGCUAAUAACGGAUAAUAUAUUGAACCGCAUGGUUCAAUAGUGAAAGACGGUUUUGCUGUCACUUAUAGAUGGAUCCGCGCCGCAUUGUCUACUUGGUAAGGUAACGGCUUACCAAGGCAACGAUGCGUAGCCGACCUGAGAGGGUGAUCGGCCACACUGGAACUGAGACACGGUCCAGACUCCUACGGGAGGCAGCAGUAGGGAAUCUUCCGCAAUGGGCGAAAGCUUGACGGAGCAACGCCGCGUGAGUGAUGAAGGUCUUCGGAUCGUAAAACCCUGUUAUUAGGGAAGAACAAAUGUGUAAUUAACUAUGCACGUCUUGACGGUACCUAAUCAGAAAGCCACGGCUAACUUCGUG